UUUAAAAUAACUAUUCAAGUGAGACAUGAAGAGCUCUUUUCCUAUUUUCCUAACAUUUCUAGCUUGGCCCAAGGAGAAGUUUUGCACUGCUUUACACAGUCUUCUUAUUUUCUCUUAUACUUACUCCACUUCAUAGGAUAAGGAGGAAUAAUUUGAUUAGUCAGAUAGUCAUAUUUUAUUAGUAAGUGGUUUCUGUGCCUAAAUGAAUUAGAAUAAAUGUAAAAGUUAAUCCAAAAAUUUGGAAAACAACUAACUUAAAAUUUUUUUUAAUCUAAAUUAACUCUUACUUUCCACCCUCAUUCUUCUAGGAAUCAACAAUUUUGGUGGAGGAUAUAAACAACAAAACUAACACAGCAGAACAAAACUUUGGCAACAUGGAAGUCCAGGUCUUACUGAUUCCUGAGAAAAUCCUGGAAGGUAUUACCCGGGUGACUGAUUUCCACCUUCAGCAAUGGAAAAGUAAGAAGAAUAACAAUGAGUGUGUAAUUCUAAGAUGAUCAGAGAAAAACUUGCCAUCUGGACGUCAUAAGAAAAUAACUAGUUUCUGAGGCCUGCCUGGAGCCCCCUGAACCAACGCCAUCACAGUGGAGUCAAAUCACAUGCACUCACUGCAUCCGAGAGGAAGACACCUCCGGGCUCCUUCUCGUCCAGCUGCUCUUCACUAUGACACUCCUUCAGCCUCCGCUUGAAGAUCAGUAAGAGGAAGCGCUCUGUCUCCCUCCAAAGGCAGAUUAGUCAUAUUCGGACAGCUCUAAUAAUCAUAAUAUUCUUCUUUCAAUCUGAGUUGAAAUCUAACUUUGAUCAACUUGUUCUUAUUCAGCCACUGGAAACUACACUGAGCAUGACGUCUUUACAUUCAAUAUCUAAAAUGUUUGAAGGCAGAAAUUAUAAGUCCAAUUACAACUACUUCAUAAGCAUUUAUGCAACUAUAAGUACUUCACAAAUAUUCUCUAUUUUUUUAAUCAACUAUUCCAUCUAUAUCCCCGUUGUCAGAGCCACUCAUUGAUUUUUCUC
This is a non-coding RNA of Equus caballus (horse), 1014 nucleotides long. NCBI's taxonomy places the organism in Eukaryota, Metazoa, Chordata, Mammalia, Perissodactyla, Equidae. The record is from RefSeq and is a predicted model, not a curated record.